This is a long non-coding RNA of Nerophis ophidion (straightnose pipefish), 411 nucleotides long. RefSeq lists it as uncharacterized. The transcript is spliced from 2 exons. NCBI's taxonomy places the organism in Eukaryota, Metazoa, Chordata, Actinopteri, Syngnathiformes, Syngnathidae. The record is from RefSeq and is a predicted model, not a curated record.
AUGACGCAGCGCUGAAGGAGGGAACAAGAUGGAACUAAAUAGUACUAAUUAACAAUGUGGAACAUAGCUGUGCUGGAAGGACAAGUUCAGAAAGUAAAAGUGCUGUGAACUUGACGUGGAAAUGUGCGUUGCCUCAUGCCCACUUCAUGCUUCACAUAUGCACAUUUCUACAUGCUGUGGAUACUUUGGUGACACAGGUGUGUUUGCCAACACUUGAUUUCAACAAUGAAAAAGAUCAAGGGUGUUCUUGUGACUCUAACCCCAGUCGUACGGACUACAACGACCGGCGACUGCCGGUGGUUGAGGCACACUGGCACCGGAGACGGUGGAGGAAAGUCCCGACUUUGUGUUUCGUACGGCUGCUACCGCAAGUAGUUCUCCUGGGUUGUAAUAAUAAAUUGAUUAAUCUAA